RNAcentral lists this ribosomal RNA (232 nucleotides) under uncultured bacterium. RNAcentral's name for it is "partial 16S ribosomal RNA". It matches the Rfam family "Bacterial small subunit ribosomal RNA", at positions 118 to 350 of the family's 1533-position model. The record is from RNAcentral.
UGGGCAACCUGCCCCUCUCCCUGGGAUAACCCCGGGGAACCGGAGCUAAUACCGGAUACUCCGGCUGGAUCGCAUGGUCCGGCCGGGAAAGGUCCGCCGGAGAGGGAUGGGCCCGCGGCCUAUCAGCUUGUUGGUGGGGUCAUGGCUCACCAAGGCGACGACGGGUAGCUGGUCUGAGAGGACGACCAGCCACACUGGAACUGAGAUACGGUCCAGACUCCUACGGGAGGCA